CACGUAGGGGGCGAGCGUUGUCCGGAUUUAUUGGGCGUAAAGAGCUCGUAGGCGGUUUCGUAAGUCGGAUGUGAAAACUCCAGGCUCAACUUGGAGACGCCAUUCGAUACUGCGAUGACUUGAGUCCGGUAGGGGAGUGUGGAAUUCCUGGUGUAGCGGUGAAAUGCGCAGAUAUCAGGAAGAACACCCGUGGCUAAGGCGGCUCUCUAGUACGGUACUGACGCUGAGACGCGAAAGCGUGGGGAGCGAACAGG
This 254-nucleotide ribosomal RNA is filed under the name uncultured bacterium. RNAcentral's name for it is "partial 16S ribosomal RNA". It matches the Rfam family "Bacterial small subunit ribosomal RNA", at positions 524 to 776 of the family's 1533-position model. The record is from RNAcentral.